ACUCCCAACAAUGGUCAGCAGCAGCUGUGAUUGGAAGUCCAAGGAUCUAGCAGUUGCUCAGUCCCACACGGCAAGCAGGAGAAGAAAAGACAGUGAGAGUGAAUCUUCCUUCUUCCAACAUCCUUACGUAGGUCUCCAGCAGAAGGUGUGGCCCAGACUAAAGGUGUGUGCCACCAUGCCUGGAUCUGGGACUUGCUUUGUCCCAGAUGACCUUGAACUCAGAGAUCUCCCUGUCUUAAUCUUCUGAAAUUCAUAGCCACUAUGCCUCAAGAUCUCCAUGCCAAAAUCCAGGUCAGAAGCUUGUAUCACCCAGCCUCCAGAUUAGGAUCACAGGUUAGCCUUCCAAUUCUGGAUUGUAGUUCAUUCCAAAUAUAGUCAAGUUGACAACCAGGAGUAGCCACUACAUAUGGUAUAGGUGAUAGGUUUAUUGCUUGACUUCUUGCCUUUUGGUUUUAAAGUUAUUGAAUACAAAAUUGGGAGCAGUGAAAAGGCACACAGUUCUCUCAUUAGCCUUGAGCUAAAACCUCCUGCCGAUCACCUCCUGGUGGGCUUCCCAGAAGACACUGCUGGGCUGGCUUGCCAGUCUGUGUAAGAGUCAUGGGAAGGCUUGCUUCUCCAUUAUCACUGCUGAUCACUGUUGAUAACAGGGGAUGUAGUAUCCAAGGCAUCCAGAGCUUCAGGCAGGAGGGCAAUUAGGGGAACCAGUUGAGGGCAGGAGAUGACCAGAUGAGAUCCACUCCUUUCUCAAUACUCAAUAGCUUAAAACACUUGGGGCCCCUCCAUAUGAGUGAGUACUGCAGGUAUCCAUGGGGGUUGGGGUGCAAGCAGCUAUGGGGAUUGAGACACAGGUAGCCAUGAGGGUUGGGGUACAGGAACCACAGUUCUGGUUCCUUCCAUAUUUCUAGCCACAGUAAGCUGCACAGUGUGGAGUUACAUUUAUGAAUUUGCAUUUGAGCAAUAUGGCCACUCCAUAUGUGUAUGUGUGUGUGUGUGUGUGUGUGUACUACCUCAUGUCAUACGAUAUUCAAUAAUUUGUUACAGAAUUUAUAUAAUCCCAUAAAUUAUCAAAAUAUUUUUCUGAUUCCAGGCAAUUAAUGUAUACCACGUGAAGGCUGUCUGUAAAACUUACCCUUCAUGAAAAUGUGUGUGCCAAACACUCUGACCUUUGUUAGAUAAUUUGAGAAGCCCAUCUUGUAAUGUUUCUUAAAAUUUUCCACUUGGUAGAUUUAUUUAGGGAUUCCCAAGGAAAAAAAAUAAAGUUGAACCAGUGUUCAGUUCCCUAGACACAAAAAUUGGCUUUAUUAAUUGGGAGGGAGGCCAAACCCAGUUUUGGGUAAGAGCCUGAAGAAGUUGUAGAACAGUCCUGGGGAUACAGGCUGUGAGACAGUUAGGGUUGUGCCUGAAGCCCAGGGUCUCACCAAAGGACUAGGUUUUUGUUUUGUCUUUUUAUUCACUUUCUUUCCUUUCUGACCCCUGGAACACAUUGUCUCAUUUGUUCCUCAUAGACCCCUGCCAAGUAGGUAUUGUGUUACACAUGGGGAAUUGAGGUUGUGGUAAGUUCCCCAGACCUUGUGCUAAGCUGUUUGCUCCAGGACACCCCCUACACACACACACACACACACACACACACACACACACACACACACACACACACACACUGAUCCAUAUGGGAGAGGCAAUGGUAGACAAGUCCAGAAUGUGUGAACAUGGAUUAUUAGGAUAGGCACAGGUUAACCUUUGCCCUUUUGGGCUGUUUAUCCUUGAAAGUAAGGCAGACACUUGGAAACAAAGCUCUGCUCGCUCCCUUUUCGUGGUUAAAGUCUGGCCCAUGGUUGAUGACAGUGAAUGCACUUCCUUCAGCAGGAAUUGCAGCUUUAGCUUGUCUUAAACAAGUCUCGGGGCCUGUUAGUGCCAUGAUAUGCUAGCUAGCCCUCUUCAUAGCCCAAGCCAAAAAAGAGGUUUAGAUGUCAGGUGAGUGGGCUCAUCUUGCAUGUUUGACUCUGUAGCAAAUGUUUCUUAGAGAGUGCCUAGUAGCCAAGAAAUAU
Molecule: long non-coding RNA, 2045 nt
Filed under: Mus musculus (house mouse)
Lineage: Eukaryota; Metazoa; Chordata; Mammalia; Rodentia; Muridae
Description: long non-coding RNA chr1:89825480-89827525
Source: RNAcentral